Molecule: long non-coding RNA, 1019 nt
Organism: Oxyura jamaicensis (ruddy duck)
Lineage: Eukaryota; Metazoa; Chordata; Aves; Anseriformes; Anatidae
Exons: 3
Source: RefSeq, a predicted model, not a curated record
GUUAUGUGGGCAAAACUCCCAGCCAAAAGCCCAGGAUCUGGUGUUGACUUUACUUCAGUCCCUUGCUUGGACAAAGUCUCUCCCUUGUUUGCUGUGGGAUUACCUCUCACAGGGCUGGGGUGAGACCUCCAGGUUAUGUGCUAUUAAUCGCUACUCGUUCCAGUGCAGAGGGAUUUUGCAGUUUUGAAGCCAGGAGACUGUUUACAUUGGGAAGACUGGUUGCUUGGCAUUCCAGAAAGCAGAGGAACCUGAAAAGAAGGGCUCCCAUUAAGAAGACAUGGUAAUGGAAAGGAGAAGGAGGCUUAUGAAGAGGAAGGCAAAGAUCCUGGCUGGAGGAAACCCCCUGGAAUUUGGCGAAGGUCCUGGAGACCUUCAGGCCCUUCCUGGAGGUAAGGGAUCACUGCCAUCAGUCUCACUUGGGCUGCUGCUCCCCAUACAGCCUGAAAGAGGUAUCAAAAAGGAGUCUACCAUCCCUUGUGCUCCCCCCUCUACUUCAUCUGCAACCUUCUACCUCUGGAGUUACACUAACAAGGGCAAUUUGUGCUUGUAGACUAUUAAUUGCAGUACAGUGAUGCAGCAAGUCAUUAAUCCAGGCUGGCACUUUCUAGGCAAUGUAUAAACAUGCAGCAUGCAGGUCCCUGCUUUGACAUAUCCUUGCAUUUGUCUGCUUGUUGUUAAGCAACACAGACAAAUGACAUAAAAGUAUAGAAAGAAGUGAAUGUCUUUGGAUUCAUCAAUGGUUAGCAGCAAAACAGGUCUAAUUUGUCCAGACACUGACCUACUGCCUCUCCACUUUUUUUGCCCUGGUCAACAACUAUCCAUCCUCAAAUGUUUUGCGGCCCUCACAUACAUUUAGGAUCAUAUGUCUAACUGAAAGGACCAGUAGUUUUUAUAUGGCUGUCUAGACGUUACCCAGGUUCCUAUUUCCACAUCAUUUUUCUAUCGUGUUCAACAACACAUAAUUACACUUCAGUGUAGAAAUGCCAUUUGUAAAAAAAGGCCAUUUGUAAUGCGGAGAA